Molecule: ribosomal RNA, 406 nt
Filed under: uncultured bacterium
Lineage: Bacteria
Description: partial 16S ribosomal RNA
Rfam family: Bacterial small subunit ribosomal RNA
Source: RNAcentral
AUUGAACGCUGGCGGCAGGCCUAACACAUGCAAGUCGAACGAGUGGCGGACGGGUGAGUAAUAUCUGGGAAACUGCCCGAUGGAGGGGGAUAACUACUGGAAACGGUAGCUAAUACCGCAUACCAUCGGAUGUGCCCCGAUGGGAUUGGCUUGUAGGUGAGGUAACGGCUCACCUAGGCGACGCUCCCUCGCUGGUCUGAGAGGAUGAGCAGCCAAGAUGGAACUGAGACACGGUCCAGAAUCCGACGGGAGGCAGCAGUGGGGAAUAUUGAACAAUGGGCGGAAGCCUGAUGCAGCCAUGCCGCGUGGAGGAAGAAGGCCUUCGGGUUGUAAAGUACGUUCAGCGGGGAGGCGUUACCCGCAGAAGAAGCACCGGCUAACUCCGGGCCAGCAGCCGCGGUAAUUC